This 72-nucleotide transfer RNA is filed under the name Candidatus Parcubacteria bacterium. RNAcentral's name for it is "tRNA-Cys". It matches the Rfam family "tRNA". From Rfam's summary of the family: Transfer RNA (tRNA) molecules are approximately 80 nucleotides in length. Their secondary structure includes four short double-helical elements and three loops (D, anti-codon, and T loops). Further hydrogen bonds mediate the characteristic L-shaped molecular structure. tRNAs have two regions of fundamental functional importance: the anti-codon, which is responsible for specific mRNA codon recognition, and the 3' end, to which the tRNAs corresponding amino acid is attached (by aminoacyl-tRNA synthetases). tRNAs cope with the degeneracy of the genetic code in two manners: having more than one tRNA (with a specific anti-codon) for a particular amino acid; and 'wobble' base-pairing, i.e. permitting non-standard base-pairing at the 3rd anti-codon position. The record is from RNAcentral. Lineage: Bacteria; Candidatus Parcubacteria.
GGCACGGUGCCCGAGAGGUUAGGGAACGGUCUGCAAAACCGUUUUACGUGGGUUCAAAUCCCACCCGUGCCU